This 198-nucleotide non-coding RNA is filed under the name Oscillospiraceae bacterium. RNAcentral's name for it is "6S RNA". It matches the Rfam family "6S / SsrS RNA". Rfam says of the family: E. coli 6S RNA was the first non coding RNA to be sequenced, but its function was unknown until recently. It consists of 184 nucleotides that fold into an extended hairpin structure with a large single-stranded internal bulge. Lineage: Bacteria; Bacillati; Bacillota; Clostridia; Eubacteriales; Oscillospiraceae. The record is from RNAcentral.
AGUGCCCUGCGGGGUGCGUGAUGGGCCUUUUUUAACCCACAUUUUGUUAUACGGGAUGCUGGUUCACCGUCUGGUUUGCAGGCCUCCCGGCUGCCACCUGCGGUUGGAAGUUGGAAGCAGUAAAGGACGGUGCAGGCGACCCACCUGCCUUUCAUGUGCAGGUUAUAACAGGGCUCACACGGCUUCUGCGGGGUACCU